Molecule: ribosomal RNA, 1380 nt
Filed under: uncultured organism
Description: bacterial SSU rRNA
Rfam family: Bacterial small subunit ribosomal RNA
Source: RNAcentral
GAUCCUGGCUCAGGAUGAACGCUAGCGGUGUGUUUAACACAUGCAAGUCGAGCGCCCCUCACUGUGCCUAUCACUGGUAGGUAGAGUGAGGGGAGCGGCAGACGAGAGAGUAACACGUUGGGAUCUACCCCAGACUCAGGGAUAACCGCCCGAAAGGGUGGCUAAUACCGGAUGGCCUCGAAAGAGUAAAGCUUUUGCGGUCUGGGAGGAACCUGCGGCCUAUCAGCUAGUUGGUAAGGUAACGGCUUACCAAGGCGAUGACGGGUAGCUGAUGUGAGAGCAUGAUCAGCCUCGAUAGGACUGAGACACGGCCCAUACUCCUACGGGAGGCAGCAGUGAAGAAUCUUCCGCAAUGGACGAAAGUCUGACGGAGCAACACCGCGUGGUGGAUGAAGGCCUUCGGGUCGUAAACACCUUUUCUGAGGGAAUAAGUUCUGAAGGUACCUCAGGAAUAAGGCGCUGCUAACUACGUGCCAGCAGCAGCGGUAAUACGUAGGCGCCAAGCGUUAUCCGGAAUUAUUGGGCGUAAAGCGUCUGUCGGCGGCAAUGCAAGUCUGGUGUGAAAUUUCAAUGCUUAACAUUGAAUGCGUAUCGGAAACUGUAUUGCUAGAGUCUAAGAAGAGCCACUGGAAUUUCCGUUGUAGGGGUAAAAUCCGUAGAUAACGGAAGGAACACCAAAAGCGAAAGCAGGUGGCUGGCUUAGUACUGACGCUCAGAGACGAAAGCGUGGGGAGCGAACGGGAUUAGAUACCCCGGUAGUCCACGCUGUAAACGAUGAGUGCUAGGUAUUGGAGGGAUUUGACCCCCUUCAGUGCCCACAGCUAACGCGUUAAGCACUCCGCCUGGGGAGUACGGUCGCAAGACUAAAACUCAAAGGAAUAGACGGGGACCCGCACAAGCGGUGGAUCAUGUGGUUUAAUUCGACGAUAAGCGAGAAACCUCACCUAGACUUGACAUCUCGAGAAGGUUCUGGAAACAGAACUGUGCCGCAAGGAACUCGAUGACAGGUGCUGCAUGGUUGUCGUCAGCUCGUGCCCUGAGGUGUUCGGUUAAGUCCGUAAACGAGCGCAACCCUUGUCAUAUGUUGUAUUUCUCAUAUGAAACUGCCGGCUCCAAGCCGGAGGAAGGUAGGGAUGACGUCAAAUCAGCAUGGCCCUUAUGUCUAGGGCUACACACGUGAUACAAUGGGUCGUACAAUGGGUAGCCAAGGAGCAAUCCGGAGCCAAUCCCUAAAACGAUCCUCAGUUCGGAUUGAGGUCUGCAACUCGACCUCAUGAAGUUGGAAUCGCUAGUAACCGUGGAUCAUAACGCCACGGUGAAUAUGUUCCCGGGUCUUGUACUCACCGCCCGUCACAUCACGGAAGGUGGAAGCACCCAAAG